CCUACGGGAGGCAGCAGUAGGGAAUUUUCCACAAUGGGCGAAAGCCUGAUGGAGCAACGCCGCGUGCAGGAUGAAGGCCUUCGGGUCGUAAACUGCUUUUAUGUGAGAAGAAUAUGACGGUAACACAUGAAUAAGGGUCGGCUAACUACGUGCCAGCAGCCGCGGUCAUACGUAGGACCCAAGCGUUAUCCGGAAUUACUGGGCGUAAAGAGUUGCGUAGGUGGCAUUGUAAGUGGAGCGUGAAAGCGUGCGGCUCAACCGCAUUACUGCGUUCCAAACUGCAAAGCUAGAGUAUGAGAGAGGUAGAUGGAAUUCCCAGUGUAGGAGUGAAAUCCGUAGAUAUUGGGAGGAACACCGAUGGCGUAGGCAGUCUACUGGCUCAUUACUGACACUAAGGCACGAAAGCGUGGGGAGCAAACGGGGUAUUAGAUACCCCGGGUAGUCCACGCCGUAAACUAUGGAGUGNUAGCGUGUGACGACACACUACGACCGUCGUGUCGUAGUACGACGUAACGUACGUACGUACGACGUCCGCCGUCGGGUAGGUACGGUCGGCGACGUAAGUAAACGUAACGUUAAGAAGUAGUUAGGCGUGNGAGNGCGACGGACGACGACGAGGAGGAGG
Molecule: ribosomal RNA, 625 nt
Filed under: uncultured bacterium
Lineage: Bacteria
Description: bacterial SSU rRNA
Rfam family: Bacterial small subunit ribosomal RNA (bases 1-536)
Source: RNAcentral